Molecule: non-coding RNA, 201 nt
Organism: Cinara cedri
Lineage: Eukaryota; Metazoa; Arthropoda; Insecta; Hemiptera; Aphididae
Source: the annotation of a GenBank genome assembly
UUACCGUGAAUAUUUAUUAAUUUUUUUAUUGUAUACAAAUUAACAGCCCGAUGUUUAGAAAUUAUCACAAAUAUAAGGCCUCCAAAAAAAUUUUAUCUACGGGCCUCAAAGAACGUAGUUCCACUACUGUUGCUAGGUACUUAUCUACUUAAUGAAUUUAUUUAUUAAUUCUGAUGUUUAAACUACAAUUUACGAAAGGAC